AUAAAAUAAUUCUAACUCUAAGACAGAAGUUUGAAGUCAUCGCCAGUCUUCUCUCCAAUGCCUCCUAACUCCCUUUCCAACCACCCUUCUGUCACUAGAUGUCACCCUUCUCCAGUGAGUAGCAGGUAUAAAAAAAGAUAGCACAUAAUACGUAAUGGAGGUUUUCUUCCUGAUGCCAUCAACGAAAUGAAAGAAUAUUUUUUAAAAAACAACAA
Molecule: long non-coding RNA, 215 nt
Organism: Cercocebus atys (sooty mangabey)
Lineage: Eukaryota; Metazoa; Chordata; Mammalia; Primates; Cercopithecidae
Exons: 2
Source: RefSeq, a predicted model, not a curated record